CCUGAUCCAGCAAUGCCGCGUGAGUGAUGAAGGCCUUAGGGUUGUAAAGCUCUUUUACCAGGGAUGAUAAUGACAGUACCUGGAGAAUAAGCUCCGGCUAACUCCGUGCCAGCAGCCGCGGUAAUACGGAGGGAGCUAGCGUUGUUCGGAAUUACUGGGCGUAAAGCGUACGUAGGCGGUUAUUCAAGUCAGGGGUGAAAGCCUGGAGCUCAACUCCAGAACUGCCCUUGAAACUAGAUAGCUAGAAUCUUGGAGAGGUGAGUGGAAUUCCGAGUGUAGAGGUGAAAUUCGUAGAUAUUCGGAAGAACACCAGUGGCGAAGGCGACUCACUGGACAAGUAUUGACGCUGAGGUACGAAAGCGGGGAGCAAACAGGAUUAGAUACCCUGGUAGUCCACGCCGUAAACGAUGAUAACUAGCUGUUCGGGCUCUACGAGCUUGAGUGGCGCAGCUAACGCAUUAAGUUAUCCGCCUGGGGAGUACGGUCGCAAGAUUAAAACUCAAAGGAAUUGACGGGGGCCUGCACAAGCGGUGGAGCAUGUGGUUUAAUUCGAAGCAACGCGCAGAACCUUACCAGCGUUUGACAUCCUAAUCGCGGAUUCCAGAG
Molecule: ribosomal RNA, 606 nt
Filed under: Sphingomonas sp. SNRB12-2
Lineage: Bacteria; Pseudomonadati; Pseudomonadota; Alphaproteobacteria; Sphingomonadales; Sphingomonadaceae
Description: bacterial SSU rRNA
Rfam family: Bacterial small subunit ribosomal RNA
Source: RNAcentral